Molecule: long non-coding RNA, 377 nt
Filed under: Carica papaya (papaya)
Lineage: Eukaryota; Viridiplantae; Streptophyta; Magnoliopsida; Brassicales; Caricaceae
Description: long non-coding RNA (CPAP_LNC015439)
Source: RNAcentral
UCCCUAAAUUCCCUGAAUUUUUCUCCAGGAACUGAAAUACACUUCUGGUACCUACACAUGUCCCGAAAAAACUCAAAAUAAGACCUAGGGCCUACUCGGCCAUUCUCGAAAACUCCGGCACGUCGGCUCCGCCGUGCUUCGGCGACGGUGCUGCUGCCCGCGGCGACGAUCCGCCUCGAGUUGGUCGUUUUCGGUCAAAUUCGACCAAACUCGCAUUGAUUCCUGCAAUAAAGCACCCCUAGGGCCCUCGGUGGGCCAAAAAAUUACGAAAAACCGAGACUUACCGGCAGCGGAGAUCUCGGGUGGCUUCUCCGGCGUGAGUCGUGAUUUGAUGUUUUGCUUCGGUCAACCUGUAGAGAAAAGAAUGGUGAUCAGAG